CAGAGGAGUUUGAAGUCUUGUAUUGAGCGUUUGAUUAUAACCUACGGCCUUUCAUAAUCUGUUACGGUUAUAUAUUGUAUAUCAAACGCACGUAAUUAUCAAGUGAUAUGAAAAUGCGUAAAUAGCUAUAGUUUAAUUCAUAAGUACAGCAUAGCGUGUUUUUGUGUAACCAUGAUUCCCGCCAUCUGUCUUGUUUACUUCCACUUCCGGUGUAAACAACACCGCUGAACAGCCAUGUGAGAAUCUCCACCUACUGAUACUCGCCAUUCCACAAAUAAUGACGGCAACAGAGUCCGCUUCAGACUGGCAAUGUGGGAAGAGACUUCAUGAGUGUUUUGAUCACCUCUUCACAUCUGGUUUAGCAGCCGACGUCACCUUUCUUGUCGGCAAACACCAGAAAAGAGUUACGGCCCACAGACUGGUCCUCAUCAGCAGAAGUCCAGUAUUCUACGCCAUGUUGGAGGGUCCAAUGGCAGAGAAAGGGGAGAUAACCAUACCAGAUAUAUCGGAGAAAAUUUUCAUAGGAUUUCUAAGGUUCCUGUAUACAGACAGAAUCUGCUUUACAGAAAAGAAUGUAUUUCCAAUUUUGAAUGCUGCCAGGAAGUACUGUGUGGAUAUUCUCGUCUCUCGCUGUGAGAAGUUCCUGAGUAGUAACCUAUCAGAAGCAAAUGCUUGUCUGUUUAUGGAACAUGCUCAUUUGUACUCUAUGGAUCAAAUAAAAAUGGACUGUCUCAAGUUAAUUUCAGGAUCUGCUAACAGCUAUACUGCAGUCUUCAUCAUUUACUGAGCUUUGUAAAAGUUGUGUGACUAGUAUCCUUGAAUUUGAAGACUUAAAUAUUGAGGAGACUGAUGUUUAUAAGGCCAUCAUCAACUGGGCUGGGGCAGAAUGCAGACGGCAAGAACUAGAGGUAACAUCUGAAAACAGAAGAACGGUUUUGGGGGAUAUUCUGUAUAAUGUCCGCUUUCCUCUGAUGGAUUAUGAUUUCUUCCAAAAAGUAGUUUGUCACGACAAAACACUUCCCAGUGAGGAUGUCAUACAAGUCAUCAACUAUCAUCACCACCGAGAGAAAGUUUCCAACAGUAAGCUUAAUCUUAAGAUGAGACCCCGAGGCUUACACAAGUUGUGGCGCGUAGAAGGAACCAGAAGUCGUAGAUGGUCAAAUGGUUUGGAGUCUGUGUCAGUUUUAGUAUCUGAUACUGUCUAUUUAAAAGGAUUUGGAUCAUACUAUACAGAGGGCUAUAACAAAGUCAAUGUGGCCAUUUAUGAAAAUGAAACGGUAAUUCACAAAGCUGAUGCAGUGUCCAGAGUCGCAAGUGGAUCAGAUGACAUCGGGGACGUUUUGUUAGGAAGAGAAGAACAAAUCUGUUUCAAACCUGGUAUCCUGUACACUAUAACAGAAUUCACAGAAGCCAAACGAAAAUGCCAUGGCACACGUACUUAUGGCGGUCCAAUAUUUUUCAAACAAAACAAGUUAGUUUUUCUUAAGCCUCAUCCUCCACUAACAUCAACUUGUGGCCUUGUCUCAAAUCAAAUACCUUAUAUCAUCGUAGGGAAAGAAAGAUCUUGACUGGAAUUCAAGUUACAGAUGGAACAGCUGUGGCAUUUCACAUGCACCAAAAACAUUGUUUGUACAUGAGCUUGUAUUGUACAACUGUGCAGAUUGAUACAAUCGGACGAUCACUAUUACAGAGUGACAAAAAAUAUAGAAUGGUUCGUAUCAAGGAAGAGUGUAUAAAUUAUAAUCCAAAUCAAAAUUGUUUUGAAUGGAAGUCUAUGUUCAUAUGAAAUGUCAAACGAAGCUUUUAUUUUUUGCACAUAGACCUUUACACAUGAAUAAUUAUAUUCCAUUAAUCUACUUUUGCGUUUUUGUCAAAUUAUUCUGAAUGUUUAAACAUUAUUUCCUAAUCCAUGUAAGUGUAUAUCAAUCGCGAUAGUUUUCACACACAAAUUUUGUUUUGAUUGCCAUAUUGUUAGACAUUCACAAUAUAAUCACGCAUUUCAUUUAUUCACAUCAGACAUUGUGUUCAUGUAGCUUAACAUUGUUAACACGUAGCGUAACAUUGUUAAUACGUAGCGUAGCAUUGUUAACACGUAGCGUAGCAUUGUUAACACGCAGCGUAACAUUGUUAAUACGUAGCGUAACAUUGUUAACACGCAGCGUAACAUUGUUAAUACCUAGCGUAACAUUGUUAACACGUAGCGUAACAUUGUUAAUACAUAGCGUAACAUUGUUAAUACAUAGCGUAACAUUGUUAAUACGUAGCUUAACAUUGUUUACACGUAGCGUAACAUUAUUAACACACAGCGUAACGGUGUAUACUCCUACAACUGUUCUAACAAUGGUUCUAGUCAUAUUUUCAUACUGUGGAAUGAAUUACACCAGUAGAAUUUUUUUUCCGUUUCUAAAAUUCCACUACAACCUAAUGGGGAAUCCCCUGUAUACAAACCCUGAAUACUUCAACCCACCAUCAUCAGAUGGUAGGCUAAUCAAAUCGCCUUGCGUCCGUGGUCCGUCCGUAAACAAUUCGUGUUUUUUGAGAAAGUAAUAAAGUGAUCUUUCUCCUAUUUCUUAUGUAGGUUCCCCUUUGUGCUUAGUUAUGCAUAUUGUAUUUUGGGACCGAUCGGAAAACAACAUGGCCGACAGGCAGCCAUUUUGGAUUUUGACAAUUGAAGUUUGUUAUCGCUAUUUCUUAGGAAGAACUGUUGUUAUCUUUCUGAAAUUGCAUAUAUAUGUUGCCCUAGGUUCCUAGGUGUGCAUAUCUCAUUUUUGGACUGUUCGGAAAACAACAUGGCCGACAGGCAGCCAUCUUUGAUUUUGACAAUUGAAGAUUGUUAUCGCUAUUUCUGGGAAAGUACUGAAGAGAUCUUU
Molecule: RNA transcript, 2870 nt
Organism: Pecten maximus
Lineage: Eukaryota; Metazoa; Mollusca; Bivalvia; Pectinida; Pectinidae
Gene name: BTB/POZ domain-containing protein 1-like
Exons: 4
Source: RefSeq, a predicted model, not a curated record